AAAGAGAGCUGGCUUUCAUUUCCCAGCUUUUCCAUCUGGCUGUCAUUUGAAAAUGAACACGAUUUCUGUGGACACAGGAACAUUGAAAGAAGGAGAAGGAAACAGAGUCUGAAGACAGUGGAAAACACAAGAAAUCAUAUUGCCAUUCACAACAACAACAACAGCAGCAACAACAACGACAACAACAACAAUGCAGAUUUUGCUGCCUAGGUGUAUUGUGGACUUAAAACUUUCAGAUAAAGCAUUUGGGAUCUGAUGAGAAGAACUUUCAAGAAGUGUUGGCACUGAGCGGUAUUGCACCAAGCAGGUCCUCUGAGGUGUCUGACCAGUUUCCACAGCAGAACAUAUCUCUCCUUUGCUCCAAAUGAACUGUUUCUCCAGGCUUUACAUCAGCUUUCCCAAAGCACCAGUCUCCCUUAGUAAAAAGCCAUCUCCAACUUGCUCAUUUCUGCAUUGGACAGAGCAUGGGUAGAGCUUGCAGUUAAGAAUGGCACAAGACAUGAAACGUCCAGAAAGAUGAGCAGAGACAGCCCCAAGUGCACUGCAUAAAAGUGGAGAAAGGAAGCAAAGAUGUUCAGCAAAGUGCAAUCAAAGUGUGAGGAGCAAAACCAAGUCAACACAGUUAAUGUGAAGCCACUUGCUUGUCACAUGCAAAACUGAAAGACACUUCAGUAUUAUCUGUGGUGCUUUUUUCCUUGGAUGUGGUGCACAGCAAGAAAAGAGAAACCAUCUUACUUGAAGAGCUCUGUGUUAGUUGCUAUUAAUUUCCAAAAGUGUAGCUUAAGCCUAUCCACGAAACCAGUCCCAGCUGUACUAUUCCCAGGUCAAUUAGCAGUGUUCCUGCUGCACAGUACUUCAGAAGAUGCUCAGGCGGUCUGUUGAUCUUCAGGGAAACCCCUAGACUUCCUUCCUCAUUAUUCAUGGGGAUUUCCCGCUCUGCUGCAGAAAAACAAGGAUCAAAAUGUUUACGUGCUGUCUCGUGUCUCCAGAUUCUUCAUCUCACUUAAAGGCCUAAGGAAGUGAGCGGUCAUAAAUAGAAUUCUUGAAACACUAGAAGUGGAAGCAAUACAGGCACAUCUUAAAAACUGUUUUACCAAAACAACACAAAAAAUACCUUAAAGUUUUGGUGGUCUUUUUCAUACUACAGGGAAUACCAGGGAGCAAAAAGAAAGUAAAUCUGUAGUUUUAUAAUUAUAUUUUGUUUAUUAGCAAAGUAGGAGAGAGACAACAAAGCUAUGAAGACAUCUUAUAGCAAAAUGAAUUAGACACAGGCCUGUGUGCAGUCUUUGAGAUCUGUCUGUGUGAUCAGCCUGUUUAAUUACAAAGUGUUCCAGAACAUAGAUUGUUCAAAUAAACACGGCAUUGGGCUAUGGAAUGGAUUUCUGCCUGUGCUGCUUGUUAAAUCCAGCAGAAGAACAGCCCAG
Molecule: long non-coding RNA, 1424 nt
Organism: Passer montanus (Eurasian tree sparrow)
Lineage: Eukaryota; Metazoa; Chordata; Aves; Passeriformes; Passeridae
Exons: 4
Source: RefSeq, a predicted model, not a curated record